UACGGAGGGUGCAAGCGUUAUCCGGAUUCACUGGGUUUAAAGGGUGCGUAGGUGGGUCUGUAAGUCAGUGGUGAAAUCUCCGGGCUUAACUCGGAAACUGCCAUUGAUACUAUAGGUCUUGAAUUAUCUGGAGGUGAGCGGAAUAUGUCAUGUAGCGGUGAAAUGCUUAGAUAUGACAUAGAACACCAAUUGCGAAGGCAGCUCACUACGGAUAUAUUGACACUGAGGCACGAAAGCGUGGGGAUCAAACAGG
Molecule: ribosomal RNA, 253 nt
Filed under: uncultured bacterium
Lineage: Bacteria
Description: partial 16S ribosomal RNA
Rfam family: Bacterial small subunit ribosomal RNA
Source: RNAcentral